Molecule: RNA transcript, 1540 nt
Organism: Salvia miltiorrhiza (redroot sage)
Lineage: Eukaryota; Viridiplantae; Streptophyta; Magnoliopsida; Lamiales; Lamiaceae
Exons: 5
Source: RefSeq, a predicted model, not a curated record
AUAAAAAUAAUUGUUGUAUGGGCAAAAUAGGAGUGGAUCUUCUUCCACUGAUAUCAGAUAAGAGAUCUGUGGUAAUGGCGGUGACAGAGGUGGCGCUUCAUCUCUACGCGCCUCCGUCCCCCUCUCACCGUGCUUUCCUCUUCCUACACGCCCGGCGCUCCCUUAUCAAUCUCCAUCGCCACCCAAUUUCUGUUUCCGAUCACCGGUUACUCCUCCUUCUCCGGCAAUGGCCGCUUCAUAUCCGCCGGUGCCGCCGUUGGGACUCCAACGCUGAAUCCUACAGCACCAAAGACUUCAAUUCUGAUGUUGCGGACGAAAUUGAGGAUUUCGACGAGCAGUGGGUUGGAGCUCUUGAGGAUUACAUUGAUAGCAUCUGGAUUUUAAAGGUAUUUGGAUCCUAUGGAUGGAUGCUUCCACCUAUUAUAUUAUCGUUGCUGCUGGCGAAUGGACUAAAAGCUUUUCUUCUGGCAUUAGCUCUGCCCAUUGGGCAGUCAACUUUUGCAUUUGCAAUACAAAGGUUCCAGAAGCGGGGCAAGAAGAAGCCAAAGCGGAAAGACAAGGCUAAGAAGCGAGGAUCACGAUUCUAUAGCUCAAGAGAUGCUGGAUCGGGGGAAUCACCAGAAUAUACUUAUAGCCAAAGGAGACAGAAAGGAUAUCAAUCAUGGGGUUCAAAAGAUGAUUUUACUACAACUAGUACGACUGCGGCCAAUUUUGGUGGAUGGGACGAGCUAGAUUCAGAGAUGGAUUACAAUGUAGGAGGCUCUUCUAGAAGGGCAUCAAGAAAAACGAGUGGAUCACGAGGGGCGUCUGGAAAGAAUAGGAGGAAAUUGAGGGAGAGUGAUGGGCCUUUGUUACUGAGGUUGCUGAUAUCUAUUUUCCCAUUUUUGAGCACAUGGACUAAGAUGCUUUAGUCCAAGUUUACUUGCUUCUAUGAUCCUAGCUGGAAAGUGGAAAUUUUGGGAGCACAUUAUGCAGAAAGGUUGGUUCCUCCGAAAUGAAGAAUCUUGCUUGUGCGAAGCAGCGUAGAUUGAGGAUGAGGCCUGCAGCGCCAUAUGUGUUGUUAUAAAGCCUAACUAUAUAUACAGAGGAAGGGUGAGAGAUGGGCCAAUGGUGCUUGUGAAAUGCUUGAAGAUAAAGCAGAAGCAUUCUCUGCAGCAGCACAUGGAGGUGAUAUCCAAGCUGAGGCACCGACAUUUAAUCUGGUCCAAACACUUUUUCCCUAAAUUUAUCACCUACACUCUCGCAGCUUCUCAUUCCAAAGAUGCAAUAAUGGAGUUGUCAAAAACAAAGAUGAGAUGAAACUGAGGCCAUAAAGCUUGCAGAAAUGCUCAAGUCGAUGACUAGAGCUCAUUAAUUCAAUUAUUAUACACAAUUAUCUUAAAACUCGUGCCAUUCAUAAAAUAAAAAUAAUAUCGUGGACAAAUAUGUAUAUGUUUAUUAUGCAAGCUUGAAAGUAUUUGUAUUAUUCUCUUAUUACGAGUUUUUUUGUCACUAUUUUCAUGUUUUUUUCAUGAGGUAUUUAUAGUUUAUUUUUGUGUUA